GCGCUCACUUUGGCAGCACAUAUACUAAAAUUGGAACAAAACAGAGAAGAUUAGCGUGGCCCCUGUGCAAGGACAACACACAAAUCCAUGAAGCAUUCCGUAUUAAA
This is a small nuclear RNA of Otolemur garnettii (small-eared galago), 107 nucleotides long. The record is from Ensembl. NCBI's taxonomy places the organism in Eukaryota, Metazoa, Chordata, Mammalia, Primates, Galagidae.